GGGACAUCAUCGCCGGCCGGGCAGCGGGCAUGCGCACAGUCGGCUGAAUGCGCUCGUAAAACAGAUUCAAACAAACUAACUGCAAACGACGAACGUUUCGCACUCGCCGCUUAAUUGCCGGUGAGCUUUGCAACAGCAGGCCGAUGGGCUGGGCAAGGGGGCGCUAGAGCAAUCUGACGCCUCCCGGCUGCAAAGAUAAUCUACAUGGGCUGGUCCUGAUCCGGGUACCUUGGGUCGGGACGAGAAAAUAGGGUGCUGGCGGCCGGUGUAGCGUGCGACUGCGCGACACCGGUGGCGAGACCUAAAUCAGAUCGCUAAACAUGUAGAUCUGCGCGACGAAGGCUUGCGGACGGGGGUUCAAAUCCCCCCAGCUCCACCA
RNAcentral lists this transfer-messenger RNA (379 nucleotides) under Variovorax sp. It matches the Rfam family "transfer-messenger RNA". Rfam says of the family: Bacterial tmRNA, also known as 10Sa RNA or SsrA, is named for its dual tRNA and mRNA-like properties. Its role is to liberate the mRNA from a stalled ribosome. Lineage: Bacteria; Pseudomonadati; Pseudomonadota; Betaproteobacteria; Burkholderiales; Comamonadaceae. The record is from RNAcentral.